This 477-nucleotide ribosomal RNA is filed under the name uncultured bacterium. Its description in RNAcentral is "bacterial SSU rRNA". It matches the Rfam family "Bacterial small subunit ribosomal RNA", at positions 25 to 507 of the family's 1533-position model. The record is from RNAcentral.
CAGGACGAACGCUGGCGGCGUGCUUAACACAUGCAAGUCGAGCGGAAAGGCCCUUUCGGGGGUACUCGAGCGGCGAACGGGUGAGUAACACGUGAGUAAUCUGCCCUUGGCUUUGGGAUAACUACCGGAAACGGUGGCUAAUACCGAAUACGACCACUCCUUACAUGAGGUGGUGGUGGAAAGUUUUUUCGGCCAGGGAUGUGCUCGCGGCCUAUCAGCUUGUUGGUGGGGUAAUGGCCUACCAAGGCUUCGACGGGUAGCCGGCCUGAGAGGGUGACCGGCCACGCUGGGACUGAGACACGGCCCAGACUCCUACGGGAGGCAGCAGUGGGGAAUAUUGGACAAUGGGCGGAAGCCUGAUCCAGCAACGCCGCGUGAGGGAUGACGGCCUUCGGGUUGUAAACCUCUUUCAGUACCGACGAAGCGCCGAUGAUGGUGGUGACGGUAGGUACAGAAGAAGCACCGGCCAACUACGUG